CCUGCAGAUGGCAGAUGGUGAUAUGGCAGAUAUCAAAAGAUCAAGGUGGUAGAUGGGACAAGACAAAUUCUGUGCAGAGUUUUCACUCAUUAGGAAGUCAUUCCUCUAACUUGAGGUUGCUUUCAAAUGUUCACAUGGAAACUCCUGCGGAAAGGCUGAUGCAUUCAACAUGGUCAGUUGUUUGUUUCUUCUCUGGGAAGAAGUCUGGUCUUUCCUCAGCCAAGCUGGAGAGGCGGUGGCGGUCCAGAGCAUGAACACAGAAGAGAGAAUCUUUUACCUGACUUCCACCCAAGAGAGCCUAUUUCUCCAGGGAGUUCAAGUCAAGGAGGCCACAUUUCACCAGGACCCUGGUGUGCAACCAGUUUACCUAAGCCAAGCAUCUUCUGCAGAAAAAGUUGGGCCUUUCUAAAGCAUCUUCUUCAGACUUUCUCUUCCCCUACCUACUCUCAAAGUGUUUUACAGCUCUUAAGACUCAUCUGCUGAAAUCCAGCAGUUGGGGUGUCUCGGGAUCACAGGAUGUGGUGGAGAUGACCCCAGGAAGUUAUUGCAUAUGCGCCAAGGGCGCUUUCCUCACCUCCCUCAUCUCCCAGGACUGUGGUAAGGCCUACAUGCUGCUGUCAGUCACCCUCAUUCCAGAAGAAAAAGAGGACAUGAAGAGAGUAAAGAGAAGGAAUGAGCACUUGGGGUCACAGCUCUCCUUUAGUGGUUGAAAUGAAGAGCCUUGGAAGCGCCAAGCACAGAAUCACCUGCUCCUGUGGGCACUACCUCAUUGAAUCCGUGUGAACCGCCGUUUUCUAGUGUGAAGAACUUGACUCUCAGGGAAGUUAAUGAGUGUCUCAAGAUCACACAGCCAGUAAAAAGAAGAGUUCUCUGAUUCUAACCUAGGUCAGUCUAAUUUCAAGUUAGAUCGACUGGGGUAAAGUUAAAAGGAACACUCCCAAAGGUUUUUUUUUUUUUGGCUAGAUUUUUGCUAGAUCAUAAUGAGGCAUGAAAAAGAGGAAAGCACUUUUAGAAAGAGACCUGAAACUGCAGAAGACCCAGAGUUUAGAGGAACAUCAAGGCAAGAGACUGGAAAGGCCAGUUUAGGAAUGAGUCAGCAAUUUCUCGGGGCUAUUCAAUUUAUUUAAUUUUUAAAAAGAGAGUAAAAAAGUGUUCUUUUUUUUUUGAAAAGCAAAAUACCCAACCAGGGAAUGCUCUCUGCCCUACAUAGCAUCUAUCAUACGAUGCUGCAGACUUUCUGAAACCAUCAACCGUGUAUGCGUGUGGAAUUAUUCCCUCAAGGAAAGCAGAUGAAACUCUGGGGCAUAAGCUUCGUAUAACUGCUGGAGAGAGAUGGAAACGGACACUCUGGGG
This is a non-coding RNA of Odocoileus virginianus texanus, 1353 nucleotides long. The record is from RefSeq and is a predicted model, not a curated record. Lineage: Eukaryota; Metazoa; Chordata; Mammalia; Artiodactyla; Cervidae.